RNAcentral lists this ribosomal RNA (403 nucleotides) under uncultured bacterium. Its description in RNAcentral is "partial 16S ribosomal RNA". It matches the Rfam family "Bacterial small subunit ribosomal RNA", at positions 29 to 526 of the family's 1533-position model. The record is from RNAcentral.
AUUGAACGCUGGCGGCAUGCCUAACACAUGCAAGUCGAACGAGUGGGGACGGGUGAGUAACACGUGGGUAACCUGCCCAUCAGAGGGGAUAACACUUGGAAACAGGUGCUAAACCGAUACUGAUGGAUGAGACCGCGGGGCAUUAGCUAGUUGGGGGGGUAACGGCGCACCAAGGCCACGACGCAUAGCCGACCUGAGAGGGUGAUCGGCCACACUGGGACUGAGACACGGCCCAGACUCCUACGGGAGGCAGCAGUAGGGAAUAUUGGGCAAUGGACGAAAGUCUGACCCAGCAACGCCGCGUGAGUGAAGAAGGUUUUCGGAUCGUAAAACUCUGUCGUUAGAGAAGCGGUACCUAACCAGAAAGCAACGGCUAACUACGUGCCAGCAGCCGCGGUAAUAC